Molecule: non-coding RNA, 773 nt
Organism: Xyrichtys novacula (pearly razorfish)
Lineage: Eukaryota; Metazoa; Chordata; Actinopteri; Labriformes; Labridae
Source: the annotation of a GenBank genome assembly
CAAAGAUACAGUCACAAAGGAAAUCCUCUUUCUUACAUUAAACUUCUGAAACCAAAAUCACUCCAGAUGUUUCUUUGGCAGACAGACAACCUCUACAAAGGUUAUUCUUUGGCCCCGCCCACUGAUACUAGAGUCAGCCAAUGAGAUUCCCUCCAUCUCCAGAGCACAUAUGAUGGAGUAACUGUGAGCUCAAUCAUCUCAGUGUUGAGGAUUAGAUCUGUGCAGCAAAGAGCUUCUCUGUGUUUUCAUUCUCUAUCAGAGGAAGGACACUGAUCAUCUGCUGUCUGUUUGACUUCAACUACUCCAAAGACAUGUGUCUCUACCUCUUUUUACUUGGCUCUAAUUUCAUAGGUAAGUGUUAGAACAGACAGCAAACUCCAACCUCACCUGCUGCUUUCAGCAGAUAUUUGGUCAACAUUUCACAAGCAGAGCUUGAUCUGAGUAAGCUAACAUUUUCAGGGACUGAUAGACAUUUGCUGUUUGAAGAAUCUCUCAAUGAUCCAGGAUAACAGAUGAAGUAAAGGACUGUUUUUCAGUCUCUUGGUGUCAGAGUCUCUUCUAACUAACAUGAAUUAUACUCCUUUUUCAGCCCUGGCCUCCAUGAACACCAUAAAACCAGUCAGCCCUGAAGAAACUGUUAAAGAGGGCACAAACAUCAACCUGACCUGUACUUAUGAUGGUGCUAUCAACAAUAUCCAAUGGUACCGACAAUACCAGAGAUCCAGACCAGAGUUCCUGCUCUACAUCACAGAGUACGGAUCAAUUCAUCCAAC